CCUACGGGUGGCAGCAGUGAGGAAUAUUGGUCAAUGGACGCAAGUCUGAACCAGCCAUGCCGCGUGCAGGAAGACGGCUCUAUGAGUUGUAAACUGCUUUUGUACGAGGGUAAACGCAGAUACGUGUAUCUGUCUGAAAGUAUCGUACGAAUAAGGAUCGGCUAACUCCGUGCCAGCAGCCGCGGUCAUACGGAGGAUUCAAGCGUUAUCCGGAUUUAUUGGGUUUAAAGGGUGCGUAGGCGGUCGGAUAAGUUAGAGGUGAAAUCCCGAGGCUCAACUUCGGAAUUGCCUCUGAUACUGUUCGGCUAGAGAGUAGUUGCGGUAGGCGGAAUGUAUGGUGUAGCUGUGAAAUGCUUAGAGAUCAUACAGAACACCGAUUGCGAAGGCAGCUUACCAAGCUACUUCUGACGUUGAGGCACGAAAGCGUGGGGAGCAAACAGGAUUAGAUACCCGGGUAGUC
This 460-nucleotide ribosomal RNA is filed under the name uncultured bacterium. RNAcentral's name for it is "partial 16S ribosomal RNA". It matches the Rfam family "Bacterial small subunit ribosomal RNA", at positions 338 to 795 of the family's 1533-position model. The record is from RNAcentral.